CCAAGGAAGGCAGCAGGCGCGCAAAUUACCCCACUCCCAGAACGGGGAGGUAGUGACGAAAAAUAACAAUACGGGACUCUUUUGAGACCCCGUAAUUGGAAUGAGUACACUCUAAAUCCUUUAACGAGGAUCCAUUGGAGAGCAAGUCUGGUGCCAGCAGUCGCGGUAAUUCCAGCUCCAAUAGCGUAUAUUAAAGUUGUUGCGGUUAAAAAGCUCGUAGUUGGAUCUCAGAUCCUGCCGGACGGUCCGCCUACCGGUGGUUACUGUUCGCUGCAGAUCGUUCAGGCGGUUAUUCUUGAUGAUCUUCACCGGUUGUCUCGGGUGACCGCCAAGUUUACUUUGAAAAAAUUAGAGUGCUCAACGCAGACUAGAACGUCUGAAUAAUUGUGCAUGGAAUAAUGGAAUAGGACCUCGGUUCUAUUUUGUUGGUUUUCGGAACACGAGGUAAUGAUUAAGAGGGACAGACGGGGGCAUUCGUAUUGCGACGCUAGAGGUGAAAUUCUUGGACCGUCGCAAGACGAACUACUGCGAAAGCAUUUGCCAAGAAUGUUUCCAUUAAUCAAGAACGAAAGUUAGAGGUUCGAAGGCGAUCAGAUACCGCCCUAGUUCUAACCAUAAACGAUGCCAGCCAGCGAUCCGGCUGUGUUCCUCAAAUGACACGCCGGGCAGCUUCCGGGAAACCAAAGCUUUUGGGUUCCGGGGGAAGUAUGGUGCA
RNAcentral lists this ribosomal RNA (715 nucleotides) under Guizygiella salta. RNAcentral describes it as "SSU rRNA". It matches the Rfam family "Eukaryotic small subunit ribosomal RNA", at positions 416 to 1133 of the family's 1831-position model. RNAcentral also lists the same sequence under 1 other name. The record is from RNAcentral. Lineage: Eukaryota; Metazoa; Arthropoda; Arachnida; Araneae; Tetragnathidae.